Molecule: long non-coding RNA, 3001 nt
Filed under: Numida meleagris (helmeted guineafowl)
Lineage: Eukaryota; Metazoa; Chordata; Aves; Galliformes; Numididae
Description: lncRNA (ENSNMEG00000022995.1)
Source: RNAcentral
AUGGUCAAUUUAUCUCCUAGAUGUCAGCCAGAACACUGCCACACUCUCAGGCCUGUGCGUGCCCCAGCCACCUUUGUGGGACUGCUGCUUAGAGCUGCUUCUGGGUUAAGCGCCUUGUGUCUACGUAUUGCUGGGCUUAACACAAAGGUUCUGACACAAGCUGUUCAGGCUGCUAAGCUCUCGUGCCGCUCAGCUGUGCAUGGAUAUUCACCUCUCACCCCUUCCCCCAUCUUUGAUAUGCUGAAGACUUUUGGGUACCAGCAGGCUUCAGGAGCCAAAAACUGCCUGUGCUAAGGUGGAGGGGCCAGCAGUGGCCAUCUCAGACCUUCAGUGCUCCAUCAGUGUGUGGCUGAGCACAGAGCACAUCCUGCACUGAAACUUCCACCACAACCAUCACCAAAAUCACACAUGGCUCCCCAAAUCCUGUUUAAACUUCUUCCCUUUGGAUUCACCUUCUAGAAUACGCUGAGACCUGCAGCCCUUCACCCUGACAGCGGUGUUAUUUUCUUAAUCCACAGGCUCAGGAAGACAAUGCUAUACUUGUGAGAAGCCACCGAGGCUCUAAAGGGUUUCGUUUGGAAGAGCCUAACAACACGCACUGGGCUGUGGCAGUGAGGAGACUGUCCUCUGGGGGCUGGGAAGCAGCAAAAGGUGACCAGAAAUGAACAAGGCAGCCAUGGAGAGAAAGUGAACGUCAGGAAAAAAUGAAACGGGGCAACAGAAGAGUGCCAUAGCACAGGGACACUUUGUGCCUGGCUGGGAAGGGGACACAGUGCUCUGAAAGUGAUGACAGGAUGUCAUGGGUGGCAGAAGCCCUCCCACUCUCUUCAGUUCAUUGAUCUGCUUUAAAAACGGUUCACCCUACAUUGCUCACAUAAAGGUAAAAUCAGAUGUUUGACUGUAAAAAAAAAAAAAGGCAUUGCCUGAGUAGCACGGCCCAGGCACACUGAGUGUAAAACCAUUUAUAAAGAAGAGAGUAUUUUGAACAUUGGGUAUAAAAAGUGCGAGGUGGAACUGAAUUCCUUGCAAAAAAAAAGUUUCUCUUGCACUUAUUUCACUUUGUAAAUGGAAUGUCAAUUAGCCAUGGACAGGGAAACACUGGCAAAUGCUAAUUCUGCUGAAAACGCACUUUUUGGGCAAAUACCACCGCUUAAGAAUUUGAGUCAGAAAUCAGCAAAUCAGUUCAGCCAAAUAGGAAAAAAAGCAAAAGGUUAAACUGUUUUAUUUUGGUUUGUGAAACAAAGUUUUAAGUUUCUCAUUUUGAACUAAUUCAUUCUAAUGAUUAGGAUAAGGUCAUCAUCCAAUAUGCUAACUAACAUGCCAGGUGAAACAUUUCAUUACCCUUGACAACAAUUACCUCAAGGCAUUUUUCUGUCACUGACCAUUUCUACUGGACCUGUUCAGCUUACUUUGGCCACUCCACCAAGAGGAAAACCAACACUACCAAGCAGCUCUAACACCGCAUCAGAGGAGUAUCUCUCUGGAGAACACGGAAGACAGACAGACACUCUUGCUAAAGAGUGCCCACACAGAUUUCUGUUCCCAGAGCCCCAGCCUGCAGCAGGUGCCACCGGGGUAGGGCAUAGCUGAGGGGCAGCGGUGGCACUCGGAGCUGGGCAGAAGGCCUUUGCAAACAUGCAACCACACAGCUGAGGUAGGAGACAUCCUGCCAUGAACCACUCUGAGGGAGAAACCUGUGUGUUGAGAGUGAGAUCACGGGUGCUCAAGGUGAGAUACAGCCUCACGUACAAUGGAUAUAGAUCUGACAUUCCUCAUCAUCAGCCAAGUGGGAUUGCAUGGCCCUGAGCUGUAAUAACGAACAAAAUCAAGCUCUGGAUCUGCGGCAUAUCUGACUAAAGCUGGAAAAAGUCUGGAUUAAUCUCAAUAGAAUCAUUUCUUUGCAGAGUCUUUUGCACUCCUUUGACCAUAUUUUAUAUUAAAACCAGAACAAGAAGCCCUAAGAUCACCCAACAGACAAAAGGAAGCAAGGGAUGGAGCAGGGUCCUUAGUGCAGACAUGAUGAGCGCUGCAACCAGGAGCCCCAACUGCCCGUAUUGCUCCUCCACACAAGGGAGCUCUGCAGCAGCAUGGGGGGAGAGGAGAAGCAGGACGAGCUGCCUGUUCCAUGAUCGCGGACUUGCUAUCAAAUUAAAAGACUAAAAAUGGAGACUGCUUGCUCACCACCACACACAGUUUCUGACGUCACUCUCAAUUUUGAGAAGUCUGUUCUAACCCCACAUUAUGCAACUGUUGAAUAUUCCAGGCUGGCAAAGUCUAAUUUUCACACGCCUACAUGCUAUGUACCUGAUUUUUAUUUUUAUUUUUAAAUUUCAACAGCCUACAGCAUUUUUUUUAAAGACUUAAAUGGUCAUAGUGGUUAUAAAAGGUCCCAGCUUCAAAUGUGUCAUUUAAAAGGAUUAAAAGCAAGAGUACAAAAAGUUCAGUUUAAACAAUAAGCAAUGAUGGUAAUGCAAUGGAUGAAAUGAAAAUUCAUGGGACAAUGGCAGAAAAAAAACAUCUCCAGUAUGUGGAUUAUAGAGCCAUGUGCAAAAAUAAUUCAACGCGUUUCAUCUAUAACCCACAUCUUUUAAAGGUCACUUUUAUAAUAGAAAUGUGCCAAGAAAGAAAAAGUCCCUAGGAAAUAACAUGUAAACAUCACGGCGUGGCCAUUGAAUCAGUCACUUCUGGAAUGCACUCACCUUGGUGCUUCACCAAGCUUUCACCUGAUAGAAACAAAUACAAUAUCGUAUAAACACAAGUUCUUUCCUGAAUGAAUUCGGAUGCAGUGUAAACAGAAUCUCAAACCAGGGAACAGAGAAAGAAACGAAAGAAGCUAAUGGCAUUCCUAGGGAUAAAAGCAAAACUUGGGCUCCGGUCCUUCUCACAUCAGUGGGCGAUGCAGCGAUGUCCUUGCUGCAGUCCGGUGUAUGAGUCUGCAUUUCUCAAAACGUAUUUAGAGCUGCUGAAUAAACAAAGACUACACUUUCUGCCUUUGAGGUUG